This 630-nucleotide ribosomal RNA is filed under the name uncultured bacterium. RNAcentral's name for it is "bacterial SSU rRNA". It matches the Rfam family "Bacterial small subunit ribosomal RNA", at positions 105 to 749 of the family's 1533-position model. The record is from RNAcentral.
GGUGAGUAACGCGUAAGGAACUUGCCUCUUGGACUGGGACAACUGUUGGAAACGACAGCUAAUACCGGAUAUUAUGAGAUUCUCGCAUGAGAAACUUAUGAAAGCUAUAUGCGCCAAGAGAGAGCCUUGCGUUCCAUUAGCUAGUUGGUGGGGUAACGGCCCACCAAGGCGACGAUGGAUAGCCGGCCUGAGAGGGUGAACGGCCACAAGGGGACUGAGACACGGCCCUUACUCCUACGGGAGGCAGCAGUGGGGAAUAUUGGACAAUGGGCCACAAGCCUGAUCCAGCAAUUCUGUGUGCACGAUGAAGGUCUUCGGAUUGUAAAGUGCUUUCAGUUGGGAAGAAGAAAGUGACGGUACCAACAGAAGAAGCGACGGCUAAAUACGUGCCAGCAGCCGCGGUAAUACGUAUGUCGCAAGCGUUAUCCGGAUUUAUUGGGCGUAAAGCGCGUCUAGGCGGAAAAAUAAGUCUGAUGUUAAAAUGCGGGGCUCAACUCCGUAUUGCGUUGGAAACUGUUUUUCUAGAGUACUGGAGAGGUGGGCGGAACUACAAGUGUAGAGGUGAAAUUCGUAGAUAUUUGUAGGAAUGCCGAUGGAGAAGUCAGCUCACUGGACAGAUACUGACGCUGA